Molecule: long non-coding RNA, 705 nt
Organism: Vollenhovia emeryi
Lineage: Eukaryota; Metazoa; Arthropoda; Insecta; Hymenoptera; Formicidae
Exons: 3
Source: RefSeq, a predicted model, not a curated record
CGUCAAAAAUUCUAUUCCCUAUUCCUAUUGCCUGUUGCCUGGUAUUGUGUGAUAAGCCCAUGCCACAUUUUGCAGCAUGCUUACACUGGUCGGUGGGCCCAUGGACGUAAUGAAUAUAUGGACGGAACGUUAGGUGUCACGAUGAGCGAGGGGGGUCGUUGAUCAGGAGUGAAGAGAGUCAUUUGUGGCAUUUCGGGUACAUUCGGUCAGUUUCGUAUAUAUUCGGGCAGGUUGUGUUAGCCGCAUAUCGCAUUAUCUCGCAAGCAUCAAACAUCUCAAGUGCUAUCACGCUACAACAAAAAUGAGUUUUUGUAUCAUAACCGGUUGUACAAAUCGUAUGAAAAACAAAAAUCAUGAACAAAUAGAAAAAGAAAAAAAAGGAAGAUUUCAUUCCACAUUUUUCCUAAAAACAUAGAGAGGAAACAAAAGUGGCUCGAGUCACUAAACAUACAAAAUUAUGAUCCACCAAAAUCAGCAGCUGUGUGUUCGGAACAUUUUAAGGAACAAGAUUAUGAAUCGAACCAUUCUUACAGGAAAUAGAAAAAAGAUGCUAUUCCAUGUUUAACUGAAGAUGCUAUAAAUGAUAAAGAAAAUAUUGAUAAUACAAAUAAUACAAAAAUAAUAAUACAGAAUUCCGUAAUACAACAUAAGGAUACACAAGGCGCAACAUCAAUUGUGGAAAAUAUGUACAAUGAUAAAGAAGGU